GGGGAUUUAGCUGAGCGGCAUAAGCACCUGCCUUGCAAGCAGGUGGUCGUGAGUUCGAGCCUUGGUACCA
Non-coding RNA from Cavia porcellus (domestic guinea pig), 70 nucleotides. The record is from Rfam. NCBI's taxonomy places the organism in Eukaryota, Metazoa, Chordata, Mammalia, Rodentia, Caviidae.